RNAcentral lists this small RNA (39 nucleotides) under Arabidopsis thaliana (thale cress). RNAcentral describes it as "ATSL249120". The record is from RNAcentral. Lineage: Eukaryota; Viridiplantae; Streptophyta; Magnoliopsida; Brassicales; Brassicaceae.
UUCAUUUAGUUGGUUUUGUUCUUAAGAAGAAGAAAAAAA